Molecule: long non-coding RNA, 534 nt
Organism: Globicephala melas (long-finned pilot whale)
Lineage: Eukaryota; Metazoa; Chordata; Mammalia; Artiodactyla; Delphinidae
Source: RefSeq, a predicted model, not a curated record
UUGGUCAGACACCAUUUUACACUCUUGAAAAUUCAUAGUGGAGCUUGUGGCCAGAAAUACCCCAUGACUUGAUUGCAAAGUACAAAGGAUUAUUGACCUGGUUGGAAAAAUACCGGUUACCUUUCUUCUGUAAAACCAACUUGUGUUUCCAUUACAUUCUCUGUCAGGAGUUCAUCAGUUUCGUUCAGUCCCCAGAAGGAGCCAGAUUGGCCUCCCUGCAGUUCCUCAGACAUAGUGGACACAUUCCCAGUUCAAGGCUUUGCACUGGCUGUUCACGCUGCUGAAUACAUGGAAGGCUCCUCAUCCAUGUAUUCACAUGGACCUCCGUUCACCUCAAGUCUCUGGGCAGUUCUGACCUCCUCAUUGAAGGCUACCCUGAUGGCCCAAUGCCCACUCAUCCACCCCUGUCUUAGCUCUCCCUACGUCCUCCUUUCCUUUUUUCCUGUAAUGCUUAUAACUUUCAUUCUCACUAGAGGAUGUAUUUAUUAUGCUUAUUGUAUAUUGUCUCUCUCCUCUGCUAGAGUAUAAGCUCCU